UGCUUCAACCUUGGGAUGAUGUGCAGGCUCGGGCUUUGCUUUGGGGGUGUCCUUUUUAUUUAUCAGGAAGCAAAGGCCUGUCUGAGGCCAACACAGCCCCUCAUCUCACCUGGGUGCAUCUCAGCUCUGCAGCAGCCCCUCCCAGCUAGCAGGCAUGCUCGGCAGCUAAGCUAAAUGUGUUCCUGCUGCUCCCUGCAAAGCCUCAUCCAGAGUCCCCAUAUGAGGAGAGCUGGUGUUUGGGCUUUCCCACAUGAGUCUCCCCCCUUCAGUCUUUCCAGCAUUCUGGCCGGAGUUAGACCUGGAGGGAAUCCAGUCCUGGUUUUUACCCUAGGAAACCUGCUUAAGAAACAAGCCCCAUUUCUUGCCUGUGUUGAGGUACUGUGUUGGUGCAGAGUGAUGUUUCCUCUUGGGGCAAUGUCCUUCCUCUGAACCUCUGCCGACACCAAAGGUGGAAGCAGUGGGUCCUGUGGGUUUUGCAGCUCCUGGGUGAAAUCAGGCCGUGAUGCAAACAGCUGAGACUGUUAAAACCACAUUUGUCGUGGUUAGAGGGUAACCUCUGUGUGUGUCCCGUGACUGAGGAGGUCUGAAUGGAGUGUUUUGGAGUAACUUCUGGGUUCAUGUGGCUUUUCCAACCUCUGCGAGUUGACCACAACUUGGGUCUCUCUGUCCUUGGCUGGGAUGGGGCUGGGGUCUCUGACCUUCCAGGGGAUGAGUAGCUCCUGCUUUCACCAACAGUUUGUGGAGCCCAUUCGAGGUGGGAGAGUUGGAGUUUUUGCUCUACUCACUGCACAGUGGUUGAGUCAUUGUGAUGUUAACCAGAGCUCUGCUGUUACCAGUGUAUUUUGCUGUGUUUAUGUCCAUCCAGCUGUGUAGCCUCAGCCAGGAGCAGCUCAUGCCGCUUGUCCUGCGCCGUGCCAGUGGCCUUGCCUUGCAAAUACCUUUUGGCGUUGGCCUUUCAUCACUGGGGGCAUUGGAGGCCCUGGGUGCCAGCUGUCUCCCUCCUCACAAUUCAUCAGCCUGGUGUGCAGCCUGACUAGGGACAAAGGAGGUGUUUGGUCCAGGGGCUCGAUGCAGCCCCUCUGCUACUGAAACCUGGGCAGCAGCAGGGUCAAGGCAGACCACGACCUCCCUCCCUGAGGUGCAAUGGGUGUCUUAACCAAAACUGUUCCUCCUUCACAGCCCAUCUGCCUGCCAGCACAUCCGCAGCCUUUUAAAGACACGCCGGGAAAGCGCAGGGAGGGAUGGCAGGAAUAAUUAAAGGUACGAAGCCGUUUCCAUAGAAGGAACAAUUACAUAAACUGUCUCUCUUCCAUCUGGGGGAAGAGAUGACUGAAGGAGGCAUGACGGAGAAGAAUUAAAUCCUAUGUGGCGGGGGGAAGGUCUGCCUGGCAACUAAUCUUUAAUGUGCCAAUUGAGUGACAAGGUGUGUCAGGUUCACCAGGACACAAAGUGAUACCCAGCUGACUGCUACAGGAAGCUUGAUAGCUCCAUGGUGCUGCCAAAACUCACCUCUAAAAAAGACCUCAAAGGACCCAGAGGUGGUUUGGCAAGGAGAGUUUUCUGAAAGAACAGGCUGGCUUGCCUUUGUUCCAGUCUUGCCCCUUCUCCUUUGCCUCCCCAACUACUGACCCUGGGACCGCCCUGGCCCGGUGGCAGAUGGUGGUCAGUGUUGGGAAAAAUCGGGCAUUUAAAUAAGUAAGUUUUAAAGUAAGUUUAAAAUAGAUUAAAUCACUUGGAGACAAUCA
Colius striatus (speckled mousebird) is the source of this 1745-nucleotide long non-coding RNA. RefSeq lists it as uncharacterized. Lineage: Eukaryota; Metazoa; Chordata; Aves; Coliiformes; Coliidae. The record is from RefSeq and is a predicted model, not a curated record. The transcript is spliced from 2 exons.